RNAcentral lists this small RNA (505 nucleotides) under Histoplasma capsulatum. Its description in RNAcentral is "hypothetical RNA". Lineage: Eukaryota; Fungi; Ascomycota; Eurotiomycetes; Onygenales; Ajellomycetaceae. The record is from RNAcentral.
AGUAGGGGAUUGCGGCGACCUCUGAUCCACCCGACGUUUAGUCAAAUCAGCGGACAGCGUAUGCGAUAACUUCACUGGCGAAAACUGCUCGUUCCUAGGAGUAGACGGUUUCAUGGGUGGCAUUUCAUUUCCUUGGGUAGGAAUUAUCUCAGAUGGAGGACUCUCUGUCUUGGAUGAGGAAACGGAGGUAUUCCUCAAAUUAGCUUCGGACCCCGACGAAUGCGAAAACUCUUCAUAUGCGCCAGAAGGCCUUGCCAACUGCUGCGAUUUAACAGGUAUCCUGCUCACUACCCUUUUUUCAGACUUUGGGGUUAUGGCAGCGGAAGACAACGAUGACAUUUCUCGGUUAUAUGUAUCACUCAGACGGAGGUUUUGAGCCGCAGAAUUAGUGCCACUACUUUCUGAAAUGCACGCUGUUGAAACAUCAGUACUCUUGCUACCUUCGCCAUCGAGGCCGUCAUCUUCAUCAACGCCGAUAGACAAAAGUCCAAUUUCGAGCCCUGGA